GCCGGGUGCGGUGGCUCGCGCCUGUAAUCCAAGCUACUGGGAGGCUGAGGCUGGCGGAGCGUUUGAGCUCAGGAGCUCUGAGCUGCAGCGGACUAUGCCGAUCGGGUGUCCGCACUAAGUUCGGUAUCGAUAUGGUGCUCCUGGGGGAGCCCGGGACCACCAGGUCGCCUAAGGAGGGGUGCACCGGUCCAGGUCGGAAACGGAGCAGGUCAAAGCCCCCGUGCCGCUCAGUAGUGGGAUCGCGCCUGUGAAUAGACGCUGUAGUGCAGCCUGAGUAAUACAGCGGGACCCAGUCUUU
RNAcentral lists this signal recognition particle RNA (298 nucleotides) under Seriola dumerili (greater amberjack). Its description in RNAcentral is "Metazoan signal recognition particle RNA (ENSSDUG00000014876.1)". It matches the Rfam family "Metazoan signal recognition particle RNA". From Rfam's summary of the family: The signal recognition particle (SRP) is a universally conserved ribonucleoprotein. It is involved in the co-translational targeting of proteins to membranes. Lineage: Eukaryota; Metazoa; Chordata; Actinopteri; Carangiformes; Carangidae. The record is from RNAcentral.